UACGGAGGGUGCGAGCGUUGUCCGGAAUCACUGGGCGUAAAGGGCGCGUAGGCGGUCUGCUAAGCGUGUGGUGAAAGCUCGGGGCUCAACCCCGAGUCUGCCAUGCGAACUGGUGGACUUGAGCACUGUAGAGGCAGGUGGAAUUCCGGGUGUAGCGGUGGAAUGCGUAGAGAUCCGGAAGAACACCAGUGGCGAAGGCGGCCUGCUGGGCAGUUGCUGACGCUGAGGCGCGACAGCGUGGGGAGCAAACAGG
This 253-nucleotide ribosomal RNA is filed under the name uncultured bacterium. Its description in RNAcentral is "partial 16S ribosomal RNA". It matches the Rfam family "Bacterial small subunit ribosomal RNA", at positions 524 to 776 of the family's 1533-position model. The record is from RNAcentral.